RNAcentral lists this transfer RNA (75 nucleotides) under Candidatus Aenigmatarchaeota archaeon. RNAcentral describes it as "tRNA-Arg". It matches the Rfam family "tRNA". From Rfam's summary of the family: Transfer RNA (tRNA) molecules are approximately 80 nucleotides in length. Lineage: Archaea; Nanobdellati; Candidatus Aenigmatarchaeota. The record is from RNAcentral.
GCCCCCGUAGCUCAGUUUGGAUAGAGCACCAGCCUCCUAAGCUGGGGGUCGUGAGUUCGAAUCUCACCGGGGGCA